This 504-nucleotide ribosomal RNA is filed under the name uncultured Lachnospiraceae bacterium. RNAcentral describes it as "bacterial SSU rRNA". It matches the Rfam family "Bacterial small subunit ribosomal RNA", at positions 27 to 507 of the family's 1533-position model. The record is from RNAcentral. Lineage: Bacteria; Bacillati; Bacillota; Clostridia; Lachnospirales; Lachnospiraceae.
UUUACGAGUCCUCGGCGUCAGGAGUGAACGCUGGCGGCGUGCCUAACACAUGCAAGUCGAACGGGGCGCGCAGGCUGAGGCUUUUCGGAGCGGAAGCCGGCGCUGCCCAGUGGCGGACGGGUGAGUAACGCGUGGGCAACCUGCCCUGCACUGGGGGACAACAGCCGGAAACGGCUGCUAAUACCGCAUAUGCCCGCAGCCCCGCAUGGGGCGGCGGGGGAAGCUCCGGCGGUGCAGGAUGGGCCCGCGUCUGAUUAGCUGGUUGGCGGGGCAACGGCCCACCAAGGCGACGAUCAGUAGCCGGCCUGAGAGGGUGGGCGGCCACAUUGGGACUGAGACACGGCCCAGACUCCUACGGGAGGCAGCAGUGGGGGAUAUUGCACAAUGGGGGGGAACCCUGAUGCAGCGACGCCGCGUGGGCGAUGGAGUGCUUCGGCAUGUAAAGCCCUAUCAGCAGGGAAGAAAAUGACGGUACCUGACUAAGAAGCCCCGGCUAAAUACGUG